GCAAGAGUCUGCCCUUUUCUCCUAAACCCUUCAGGUAUUUCAGCCAACCACAAGUAUUACUGAAGGAUUAGAAAAUAAGAUGACUUGGUACGGAUAUCUGGAUUUUAGGAUAAAUGUUUUACAUUCACAAAUUAUGCAAACUAUGGAUCUUCUGUUGUGGCUGAAUCCCAGGAAGCAGCUACCCGUCAGUAACUCCCAGGGAGGGCAGCUGCUGUUUUACUGUCUGAGGCACAGGAGCACAAGAAAUGUAAGCACUGAGGAUUAGGGAAUCAGAGAUUGCCUCCCACAGCCAAGAUCCAAGAGCAGUAUCCCAGUUCUACCCCAAGGCAACACAUGAAUGAGUAGCAUCUCACAGUUGCUGCUAGGAAAGAGCUGUGGGCAGCUGAGGAUCAGAGACUCAGGGAGCACUGAGUCCCUUCUCCUCCUGCCCCAGGUACCUCUGGAGCAGCCCCACUGUCUGCCUUGUCCCUGUGGAAGGUCACAAGCAGCAAAUAAUAUCUUCUAGACUUCCCUG
This 514-nucleotide long non-coding RNA is filed under the name Zonotrichia albicollis (white-throated sparrow). RNAcentral's name for it is "lncRNA (ENSZALG00000010439.1)". Lineage: Eukaryota; Metazoa; Chordata; Aves; Passeriformes; Passerellidae. The record is from RNAcentral.